RNAcentral lists this ribosomal RNA (253 nucleotides) under uncultured bacterium. RNAcentral describes it as "partial 16S ribosomal RNA". It matches the Rfam family "Bacterial small subunit ribosomal RNA", at positions 524 to 776 of the family's 1533-position model. The record is from RNAcentral.
UACAGAGGUCUCAAGCGUUGUUCGGAUUCAUUGGGCGUAAAGGGUGCGUAGGUGGUGGGGUAAGUCGGAUGUGAAAUCCCGGGGCUCAACCUCGGAACUGCAUUCGAUACUGCUUUGCUUGAGUACUGGAGAGGAGAUUGGAAUUUACGGUGUAGCAGUGAAAUGCGUAGAUAUCGUAAGGAAGACCAGUGGCGAAGGCGGAUCUCUGGACAGUUACUGACACUGAGGCACGAAGGCCAGGGGAGCAAACGGG